This 591-nucleotide ribosomal RNA is filed under the name Triticum aestivum (bread wheat). Its description in RNAcentral is "partial small subunit ribosomal RNA". The record is from RNAcentral. Lineage: Eukaryota; Viridiplantae; Streptophyta; Magnoliopsida; Poales; Poaceae.
AUGCUCUCCGCGUCCUCUCUCAGCUGCACUCCUUCUCCCCUCCAGGCUCUCGCUGAGCUGCCCAUGGCCCUCGUGUCCGCGUCGUCGUCUCCGGCUCCGUCGGCCGCCUCGGCUGCUGCCGCCCCGCUGGCCGUGGCUGCUCAUGCCGCCCGCAGUGCCGCCCCAGCAGCUGGUGGCCGUCUAUCCCGCGCCGGACUCCCGCCACGGUCGGAUGAUCGUGCCCCUGGCUUGCUGGAUGGAGGGCUUGGGUGUCUUCCGUCCCCGGCCUCUGUUGACGCUGCCUCUGCCAGCGCUGCACCGUCAACCCCGACUGCUGCUGUGGCUCCGACGGCGUCCACUUCCGAUACCACCGGCCGCCGCCCCUCUGCUGGCGCCUCCACCGGCUUGCUGUUGCUGCCCCCCUCGUCGGGCCCUAUUCAGACGGAUCUGGAAACAGAAGCUCUGCUGCGCCCCUCCUACGGGCAGCUGCGUGCCCCUGCCCAGAUGGAUGGGGGGCUGGCUCCUCAGAUGCUACUGCUGCCUUCGACGCCGGUCGUGUCGGCGCUUGUGACAGGUGAGGGGGAGGAGUGCAGGGAGCUCCCAAUGCUCUAG